Molecule: long non-coding RNA, 6631 nt
Filed under: Sus scrofa (pig)
Lineage: Eukaryota; Metazoa; Chordata; Mammalia; Artiodactyla; Suidae
Description: lncRNA (ENSSSCG00000059980.1)
Source: RNAcentral
UAUAUAGUGGGCAUUAAAAACAGUCUUUAGACAAAUUUCUAAAUGUGGAGGGGAGGUGGGGCUUUUCUAUAAGUUAGAUUUCUUUCCCUUAAGUAGCAAACUGAUACUAACAGGUUGGUUUAUUUUACCUGAUCUGCAGUUUGGGGGUAACUUGUCAAAUAAAUGACUCUUAAAACAUUUCUUAUUUCUAACGUCAACCACAUUGAAACUGGUGAAGUGGUUAUAUUAUCCAGCAUUAGAAUUAUGAUACGAUUUUUAUAGACCUGGAAAACAAAUAGCAAAUGAUCCAAAAGUCAGUGAUAACUGACUUUGAAAUGGAGUGUGGAAGGUUUGCUACCCCGAUCUUUUCCCUCCCAUACUUUUAAGUUGAUCCAGCCCUAGCAUCAGUGAAGAAACAGUUUAAAUGGCUAGGUAGAAUCAGAGAUAAAGACUGAUUAACAUAGUAUUUCUGUUAAUUAAAAAUUCAGCUAAGUAAUAAUUAUGAAUGUGAAUUAAUUAGAAGACAGUAAAAUUAAUUAUUCACUGAUUAUAGAAUGUUAAUUUUAAUCCUGUAUGGUCAUUCCAGCUUCCUAGUGAAUAGAUCAAGAUUAUUUGUAUUGACAUCAGCUUCUUAUAAAGGUAUGAAUUCUCUUAGACAAGCAAAAUAAUACUUCCAUUGUAUUUUUACACGGUGAAUUUGCUUGGUAAGCCAUUUUUAAUCUGUAAGAGAUUAAAAGAUGAACUUUAUCCCAUCCUCUGAGCUUUAAAUUCUAAAUUAUCGGGGUUCAAUGUAUAUGACAUUUUGUCAUACUAUAUUCUUCCACUCAGAAGGGGUAGAUGAAAAUGUUUCAAGUAAUUAUAACUAGAAAAAUGUUAUUUUUAUAUUAUGUGAAAUUUUACAAUGUAAAGUGAUUCAGCAUGUGAUUUCAUAUAGACAACAGCCAUAUCAUUUUUUUUCUGCAUUUGUGCCAGUUACAGUGGUUUUGGGGUUUUUUUUUUAAUAAUUACUAUUCUGAGCUACUUCCUUUACCCCCACAUCAAGUAUUAAGUGAAGGUUGUUAUUCUGAUUAUAGGAAUUUGUUGCUACUAAAAAAAGUAAAUAUAUUUCAGGCAGUCAUAUAUUUUUGUUGCAGGUAUAUGCCCCUCUCUUAAGGAUAUUUAUUGUGGUUAUAACUUUGUUUUAUUCAUUGUUUCAAUAUUGUCCUAGGUUGACAGGCAUAAUUCUUUUAGACCAAUAUUUUUAAGGCAGCUUUGAGUAGAAAUCAUCCUUUAUCAUCUUUUUUUCAUUUUGAAAGCUCAUAGGAAUGUGACACAUAGAACUUAUUUUCCACUUUUAACUGGCUCCAUAAAUCAGGGUACCCGGCAUCAAUACUGAAUUACCACAGUGAAGUACUUGGUGACUUGUUCAAGUUUACAGUUCACCUGUUAGAACUGUUGUGUAUAGUCUUAUGUGCAUAGAAAACAGAUGGGAGUAUUGGUCAUUAAAUGUUUCUUGUUUUGGUUUCUUUUUUUUUUUUUUUCUUUCUUUCUUUCUUUCUUUUUUUUUUUUUUUUUUUUUUGCCAUGCCCAUUGGCAUGUGAAAGUUCCCAGGGCAGGGAUCAAACCUGCUAGGCCAGCAGGGAACUCCUGGUUUUAUUAUUUCUGAAGACUGACUGUAUGCGCACCUAUAGUUUUAAGAGAUUGUGCCAGAGAGUAGAGAGGGAGAUUACUCUGGCAUUUAAUGCCUAAAACUUUCCAUCUUUAUUUACUUCUUGGCUUUAGUUGGACAAAUAAAAUCCCUUAAUUUGGCCCUUUAUUUUCAGAACCAAAGCAGGAAAGACUCUUUCUACAGAAAUGUUACAGGUGUGACACGAAGUCUGUGUGAAGAAAUGGACUAGUGAGAUUGCAAGAGUAUGUAGUGAGGGGGGGAAUUGAGAAAAAGAAAGGGUUUGGUUUUUUUUUGGUUUUUUUCUAGAAUCUUUGGACAGAAACCUUACAGUUGUUUAAUAUUAGUCGAGUUCUCAUAGUCACAUUGUAAAAGAGGAACUGUUGGUAUCUGAACCUAGAGAAGAAACAGAAGAGUGCCUCUAUAACCUAAAUUUAUUUUAUUUGUCCCAGACCUAAAGCUGCAUCUAUUUUUGUUAAAUUAGAGACAUUGCUUUCGAACUAUAAUAAAUUAAAUGAAAUACUGCUCUAUGUGAAGAGCGAUGCUCCUUAAAUAGAGCUAUGCACAGCAAAUAAUAAAUCUUUUUGAAAAAAAAUAAUAAAUAAAUAGAGCCAUGGCAUUGCUAUCAACAUGGCUUCUCCAGCUUUUCCCUUUAUAUAGAAAACACCAAACAGAGCCCUUCCAGACAAGGUAAUCUUCCCCAUAAAGAAAAUAUUUUGGGGAGGAAGUGGGAGGGAUCGGGAGCUUGGGCUUAUCAGACACAACUUAGAAUAGAUUUACAGGAGAUCCUGCUGAAUAGCAUUGAGAACUUUGUCUAGAUACUCAUGUUGCAACAGAACAAAGGGUGGGGGAAAAAAUGUAAUUGUAAUGUAUACAUGUAAGGAUAACUUGAUCCCCUUGCUGUACAGUGGGAAAAUUUUUAAAAAAAUAAAAUAUUUUGGGGUAAAAGAUUUGGGAAAAACACUGGUAGAUUGUAAUGGAGGGAGAAUUUUGCCUAAAAUAGUCCAACCAGAUGAAUGGAUACAGUUUGAUCCUAGGGAGUUAAAUAAGAGGAAGCUGUGGUUUGGGUAGCAGCAGACUUGAAUCUCUGGUGGUAAUUAGCUGGAAAUAUCUCCCUGUCUCACAAAAAGGGAAUGAUCUCUCAUAAUAUUAAUGGUGAUCCUGCAAGUGUGCAUGUGCUCUUUCAAAAGUCAGGAAUAGCAAGCCCUGACCAAAAUCUUCUAAUACUUUAUCCCUAUAAGAGUCUUAAAUCUUUUCUAGGAGCUUUCUCAUUUCUUAGACCAGAGUACACCCCUUUCUCCUCUUUAAAAAAAAGAAAAAGGAUUUAGAGGCAAUUUAUAUAGAAUUCCACCGUGAGUAAAUAAGAGAGUCUUUAAAAUACUUGGGGGAAUCAGUACCACAUGCCACAAGUUAAUAGCUUGAUUGAGAGACUCUUAGAGUACUUUUUUCAUGUUUGGGUUCUAAAUUUUUUCCUUGACAUACCAUUCUUUGAUUUACUUGCGUGCCAGUCAUUUUGUUUUGGGAUGUAAUCAGUGAUUUAUGCCAUUUAUGAAUUGGGUUCUUCUCUCCAUCCCAUACCCACACACUAUUAAAAAUAAAAGGGGAGGAAUAAAACAAAAGGAGAGAUAAUGAGAAGCAUUAGAAUGUAACUUUGGCUAAUAAAGAAGGAAAGAAAUUCUAACUUGGUUAAAUGAGAAUUCAGAUUGAAAGUGUUUGUACUAAAGGUAUUCUCUCUAGCCAUAGAAUUUUUUGCUAGAUAUAGGGUGCUAAUGUGAACAGAAUGUAUAUCUGAAUAUAUCUGAAAUAUGAUGGAUGUUAUAGCAAAGUGAUAAAAUUAUCUUGAAAAUAAUACUUCAAUCAUGUGCAACAGAUGUCCAUAUUCUUUUUUUUUUUGAGAUGCCCAUAUUCUUAAGGAAAAUUAAUAUAGCUUGUGGUUUUAAUGAUUUAAACUUUAGAAGGUUUGUAACUUUUAUUCUGACAUGUCUUCUUAAACAUAUAAAAAUUAUAUUGAAUGAAUACUUAAGAAUAUUCUUUCCUCUAAUUUACAUAUUGACUUCUUUUUCAUACCUCAGUUCUGUAGAUCUCUCACACGUAUGCCUCUUGGUGUGUGCAGAACUCUCCAUAAACAAAUUUUUUUAACUCAAUCCAUUUCCUCAUCAAACCUGAGCUGUAAAGGAGAAGGCAAAGAUAGGUUUUAAAUGCAGGAACCAGUAGAAGAUCACAACAGGAAAAAAGACUGUUGAGAACUUGUUGCCUUUGAAAGUAGAAAGGGCUCUAAAAACUUGAGCUGAGAUUUGAAGUUUAGUCAGAGUUCUACUACUCAUUUGCUCUGUGUCCUUAAGGCAGUUUCCUUAAUCUCUUCGUGCCUAGGUUCUCCUGGUAAAAUGAUAGUGAUAGUACCUGCCCUCACCUACCUCACAAAAUAGUUGUAAGAAGAGGAUAAUGUUAGUAGAGUGCUUGUCCCGGAAAGAAAAGCUAUUCAGAAGAUUGAGAUAAGAGAAUGUUGUUGUAUGAGGGUCCAUUUCCAGUUUGCCUCUGUGAAAGUAAUGACCGUUGACCAGGUCACUAUUAAACAGGUGUAAGAGAAACUUAGGUUUUACCAUGGUAUGGUGUUCACUUAUACGUGUAUCCUGUUCUGUUUCUCCCUAACAGAUAUCUAGCACACAGGCUGAAUUUUUCUUUAUAGUAAUCUUUGGGGAAGGUAUAACUUCAAAAACCAAACUCCUUUUAGUGGUGCUAUGGCACUUGUGAUUGUAUUUUGAGUUAGAUUAAUAUGGGGAAACCAUCAGAUAAUCAGAAAUUAACUUUGCCUUUUGCCUUCAGGCAUUUUUGCUACAUAUUGGCAUCAGAGGUUGUUGUACAACCAGAUAAUUAUCCCUUUGUUUCUUGCAGAUUUUUGGUACCUUUUUUUGGAGUAGGGGGUUAGGUUUUAAGAGGGAAGGUAUGCUUUCCACUUAUCACUUCACAGAGUUGAACCUUGCUUCCCAAUCACCAUGUACCUAUAAAAGUGAAAAUAUAGUAAAAAGUUCAUUUCUUCACUUAAAUUCAGUUCUGAGCAUCUGCAGGUGAUAUCCGGCAACCUAUUAGUGUCUGACCCAGUUAUCUUUAUGGAUUGUGGGCAGAACCUUACAUUUCUACAGGUUUACGCACUUUCCUGGGGGAAGGGGCUCCUGUUUCUAGGAAAAAAAUAAAGGGCACAUCACCACAGGUUGUUAAAACAGAUAAGUUUAUUUUGUUUAAGGAAAAGAUGCAUUUUAGGUACCCAGGGUAUGAAUGCAUUCAACAUCUAUUUUUUAUCUAUGAAGACGGUGACCUCCUCUUGUUGCAGGCAGUUUGGGCUUUUCCAACUCAUGGCUAACAUGGGUGGUAUAUGUCUUAGUUUUUAUAGGAUAAUGAGAAUUACAGGUACUGAAAAUUGGGGAGAUUUAUGCUUGGAAAAUGAACAAAAAAACCAUCUUGCUGGCUAAGAUAGCAAGAACAUUGGAUAUAUCAGGAAUACUUUUAAAUAGUUUUUGCUAUAAUGUGUAGCUUUAAAAUUUGUCUUCAGUUAUGGACCCAUAAAAGUAUUAGCGUAUCUUGUGAAUAAAGAUCAUUCUUGUGGGCUAGUAUAUGGAUGCAUUCAUAGGCUGUGGGAAGCAGUGGUGUGUGUGUGUAUGUGUGUGUGUGUGUAUGUGUAUAAAUAUUGUUUAUAACACUGUGUAUUACAUAAGUUUAUAUAGAAAAUAAUGUGUUUCUUUAGUGUUUUGGGGACUAAAAUUGUAAUAUAACCAUUCCAGUGUAAUCUGACCACUCACUCUAGAGAACAUUUAUAUUACACACAAAUGCACACUCCUAAAACAUUGCUAACUGCUCCCACUUUAGAUAAUUGCUGCUUUUUUUAAACCCGAAGUAAUGGAGGAGGAAAUAGCACUCUUUUUAAAGGGGCUUUUCUGAAAAGUAAAAUGUAAAUAUAGGACCUGUGGGAAGGGUGAGGCCACCUGCAAGUGUCCUACAGAUGGACAAAUAGCCUUUUAAAUUUUACUUUUUAACCAUCUUAACCGUGUGUGCCUAUUUGUAUUGCAGAUGUGAACUAUUUUGGGGGGUUGAUAUCAGUCCGUUUUGAAAAUGAAUUAUUACAUAAAAUCAGAGUAACCUCUUUCUCCAUCCUCCUUUUCCACACUGACUAUUCUUGCCAAAUAUUUCUACCGAUACCAAGUUUCAGCAUAAUAAAAUGAUGGACUCUCAGAUCUCCUUCCUCAUCUUCCCUAUCCUGUCUUACACCUGGCCUGGCCUUAUGUUUUUUGUUGGCUUUUCGUAAGUAAAAACAAUUUACUAUAGUAAUUUAAAGACUGCAGAAUUUCAAAAUGUUUGUCUAUAAGCCUGACUUUGUUAAUGUUUCGUUAAACAGUAACAUCAGUUAAAAUAUUGGAGUGAGUCUGAGUUUGUAAUGUGUUAUAAAAUCUUGAACGAUACUAAACUUGACUGCCACAUUUUAUUAAGAGGAAAUUGGAUUAUAUGGUGGGUGGGAGCUAGUCUAUGGUAUAUAUGUAAUCACUGUAUAAUUAGAAACACCAAGUGCUGAAUCCUAUUCACUGUGUACUUGAGGGCCAGUCUUUGGAUAUGGUUGUCAUUUUAAUUCCUUGAAGACCAUAUGUAAUUAAGGUGAGCAGAAGGCAAAUAAAAUUUUUAAACAAAAAUGCUUUUUGGGGUAAUUAUACCCCUCCAAAAAAAAUUUACUAUAAAAAACUUAGAGUUGAGAUUGAGAAGCUUGAAGAAGCCGCUUUUUAAGCAGUUCAGUCACUUACAAUAUUUUAUGUUAAAGAAAUUGUCAUAAUUCUUUCUGAGCCAAACUGUCACUAAAAUGUCCUGUGACAGAACCACUCCUCUUUUUUCUGCCAUUCUGUGUACUGGAAGGGUUCUAUGUUGUAUUUGUUUUUAAUCUUUGAUUUAAAAAAAAUGGUUUUAGUGUUGCUUAGCUUCAGGUUGAAGUGUAACUUUCACUAAUAACUGCAAUAAAAAGAAAAGCUU